GUUGAUGAAAUUAAUAAUUUUAAACGUUAGGUUUAUCAAAGGAGAUGGUUCACUCGGGAGACACAACCCUAAUGAGAAUUGAACUCAAUUACAUAAGAAAUUCAUAUCAUUCUCAACCUAAAACCUUAAAGCAAUGGGUUAAUGGGUCUUCAUCCAUAUAUGUUGUUCAAUUUUUUCAUUUUUAUCCAAUGUGAGACUUAGACUCACACUUGGAUUCUCAACACUUCUUUCCUUCAAGGGUGAGUUCCUUCCAC
This 254-nucleotide long non-coding RNA is filed under the name Vigna radiata. RNAcentral's name for it is "long non-coding RNA (VRAD_LNC017989)". The record is from RNAcentral. Lineage: Eukaryota; Viridiplantae; Streptophyta; Magnoliopsida; Fabales; Fabaceae.